GAUGAACGCUGACAGAAUGCUUAACACAUGUAAGUCGAUGGGGAAGUGGUGCUUGCACCAUGGCAACCAUGGCGGACGGGUGAGUAACGCGUAAGGGACUUACCUGCAGGACUGGGAUAACAGGGGGAAACUCCUGACAAGACCGGAUAAUGUCAUGGAGCUGCAUGGCUUUAUGAUGAAAGGAGACGCCUGCGGAGAGCCGUGCGUCCUAUUAGCUAGUUGGUGAGGUAAUGGCUCACCAAGGCGAAGAUAGGUAGCCGGCCUGAGAGGGUGGACGGCCACAAGGGGACUGAGAUACGGCCCUUACUCCUACGGGAGGCAGCAGUGGGGAAUAUUGGACAAUGGGGGCAACCCUGAUCCAGCAAUUCUGUGUGCACGAAGAAGGUUUUCGGAUUGUAAAGUGCUUUCAGCAGGGAAGAAGUAAGUGACGGUACCUGCAGAAGAAGCGACGGCUAAAUACGUG
RNAcentral lists this ribosomal RNA (463 nucleotides) under uncultured bacterium. RNAcentral describes it as "partial 16S ribosomal RNA". It matches the Rfam family "Bacterial small subunit ribosomal RNA", at positions 28 to 507 of the family's 1533-position model. The record is from RNAcentral.